UAAUACGGAGGGUCCAAGCGUUGUCCGGAAUCACUGGGUGUAAAGGGUGCGCAGGCGGGCUUGUAAGUCAGAGGUGAAAUCCCCCGGCCUAACCGGGGAACUGCCUUUGAUACUGCAAGUCUUGAGUCUUGGAGAGGUUGCCAGAAUUCGUGGUGUAGCGGUGAAAUGCGUAGAUAUCACGAGGAAUACCUGAGGCGUAGGCGGGCAACUGGACAAGUACUGACGCUGAGGCACGAAAGCGUGGGGAGCGAACAGGAUUAGAUACCCUGGUAGUCCACGCCGUAAACGAUGGAUGCUCGAUGCUGGUCCGUUUCAGGGGCAGUGUCCAAGCUAACGCGUUAAGCAUCCCACCUGGGGAGUACGAUCGCAAGGUUG
This 375-nucleotide ribosomal RNA is filed under the name uncultured Bacteroidota bacterium. RNAcentral's name for it is "bacterial SSU rRNA". It matches the Rfam family "Bacterial small subunit ribosomal RNA", at positions 521 to 896 of the family's 1533-position model. The record is from RNAcentral. Lineage: Bacteria; Pseudomonadati; Bacteroidota.